GCGGGUGGUCGCACAGGGCUAGGGCAGCCGCUGCUGGGGGCUGGCCGCGGGACACCUAGUCCUGGCCCACGCGGCUGGGGGUAUCGUGCCGCCAGAUUGUACCGAAGUCCCCCAACAAAGCACGUGACCCCCGUUUGGUGAUAAAGAGAGAGCACCGUCUUAUGAGUGGGCAUUAGGAAGCGGCCUCAGUAAGAGUGCCUUAGUUUCAACCCUGUUUCCCAAACUCCGAUCAGAAAAGGAACAUCCUCCACCAAAGCAGCCAAUCAGCAGUUCUUUUGAACUCUGGAAGUGUGCUGGAAGUCUGGAAGUGUGGGUCCGUCUCACCUCCAAGUGUAGGCUCCUCCCAGCCCAGUCUUCAUCGUGGAGCUGAGGAGCCGCUGCUCGGUCCACAGACUUAUUUAACACAAGGCUGUUAGAGGCUCUGCUGACUCCCCGCCACGUGGGAUCUCGCCCAUGUCUUUUUUCCUAGACCUGAGUGCCCCUCUUUGGACAAAGCUGAGGCAGCGGUAGCGGAUGGAUGGAGAAAAGAAAGAAGAGGCGUAGAUGGGUGAGAACUCCUUCGGAAGUCUGAGUCUCAGUGGCCGUAUGCUAAGCCCUAAGCCCGGGUGCCUGGGAUCCCUUCGGGGUCCCUGCUCAGGAUCCGGCGUGGAUCAGAAAACCCGACUGUUGCAGGAAGGAGCUGAGAAUCAAUCUACAGAGGUGUUUCCAAGCUGCCGAGCUUGAAUCACCAUUUACUUCUGCUCUCCGGGUCUUUCCGUUACCUGAGUGAGUCUGGCCUCUCCAGUCCGCGUGGUCCUGCGACCCACUCACAGGCUUCUUUGCAGUUGGGAGACAGAGAUUCCCAAGGGGACACUCCCGUGGUACCCGAAGCAUGUUCACAGUGGGAGCCACCCCCAAGGACGGAGCUGCGGUCCCCAGACCUGCUGAACCAUUCUGGAGUUGAGUCUUUUUGGAUGGGGAUAGAAAGGGGGACCUGGCCGCUAACAUAAUCCACACAUAGUCUUACGUGGGAGAACCACCACAGAAGAGUUCCCUAGCCCUGCGGGCCUUGCUCACUCUGAGAUCUCUAGCACCCAGCACAGUGACUGCUGCAGGAGGCAGUGAGAAAACGUUUGUGAGUCUGUGGUUCCCAUAGUCUUUAGGGGCAAGUUUAAGCCUGGGUUUUGCCAUCCCUGAGAGCACUUGGACUGGGGUCUCUUGGAAGGAAGUGGGUGCUCGGGCGCCUCUUGCUCUCUCGAGCGGCUCACAGGAGAGAGACGAAGGCCUCUUGAAGAGUCCUCACUCAGGGUGAUGGGAAUCCUGUUUCCUUUUGCUCAUUUGUGUCACAUUCUUCCAUCGGGCUGGGCAACUGACAGGUGCAUCCCUCCCCGGGCCCCUCUCCGAGUCCCCUCCCUGCCAUUUGUCUCUCACCCAGAUAUCCGGCAGACGCCACCAUCCGCGGAAGCUGAAUAUGAUUAGCAGAAACCCUUCCUGACAGCUCCAAAGAGAAUCCCUCAAAUGCAUAUUCUAUUGAGUGCAUCUCAUUGCUGCUGACAGUCGCUUUAUCAAUUAAAUUCCACAUUCCCAGUCUUUGGAGACGCCAUGAACCUCCCUACCUAAUAAAUCACAGGCCCCCAGUUAUUGUUAAAUGUCCCAUCAGUCUCUAAUAAACUCCCUGCCAACGGGGGCAGGUUAUUUAUUAUGCUGCCUGGACAAGAAUGAAUUGGGCCCCGUUCUUACAAGGGGAAGAGCAAAUGUGACGCCUUCCUCCCUAAAGACUGAGGCCGUGCUAUUAAAAGGGGCAAUUAAUCAAUGUGGGCCUUGGGCAGAGGAGAGCCUGGUCUGGAGACAGGGAGGAAGACCUAGGGUUCUUUUCCGAAAGCCUGCCAGGCAAUGUCCAUGGCGGGAGGUGGCUGUGCAGAGUGCGUGGGCUGGGCCUUUGCGGUGGCUUCCCCACCUCCUAAUUCCUGUCUGAAAAGGUACUGAAGAUAUAAGGUCACCCCGUGGGCCAAGGGGCGCAUGUAAAAAUAGUUAUCCUCUGUGUUGGGAGGUAGCCACUUAGGAACGAGAAGGUCAUGAAACAAAUUCUGUCCAGGCGGUCACAUAUUGUUACUUGAUAAACUUUAUACAACCUAAGUGUAUCGAUGGCGCUAGUCCACUGAGCAGAUGAACUGAAGAAUGCCGGAGGGAAGGCCCCCCUUGUCUGGGAGCAAGAACUAGGAAACACUUGCUUCAUCAGUUUGCGGGGUAAACACCACACAGGUAAGCCCUGGUACUCGGGAAGCAGUGUACCAACACCGAAAACACCCAGGAGCUAGCAGGUGUAAGACACAAGCGUGUGAAGGGCGUCUUGAAGUUCCCCGCCUCAGGUUAGAUCCCAGAUCUAGAUGAUGCUCCACGGUCUGCCAGUUAAAACCCAGACUCCUCGGCUUUGCCAUUAAUCGAGCCCCAUCCACAUUUCCAACUGUAUCUCUCUUUAUUUUAUGUAACAGUACCCCGCAUUGGGAGAGCACAGCACAGUCAUUUUCUAUUCCUUAUGGUAGCAGACAAGGUCCUUCAUAACAUGGGACCAAUAUAUCUCUGCAGCCUCAUUUCCUGGUAAUUGCUGCCAUACUUGCCUCCGUUCACACUAAAGCUCGUGGCUUCCCUAAACUAUUAUGGUUUCUCAUGCUUCCACGCCUUUGCACAAACUGUUCGCUUUGCCCAGAAUAUCUCUCUAACUUGCCUGCUUGGUGAGCUCUCUCCUUCCACCCCCACUGCCUGAUGAAACUCCUUAUCUAUCCUUCAGGAUCAGCUCAGAAAAUGAGCCCCCAGUGCUUCACAGGACUUGGGCUUGGCCUCCUGGCGCUGCUGUUUGGCAGAUGUACUAGACUCCAGGGUAGGUAAGGAAUGAUCUGCACAUGGUGUUUUUCUCAUUGUUCAAUGCAUGCUUUAAACCAUUUUGAUUUUGGGUGGAGAUGAGAAGGGCAUAGAGAAGAAAGCUACUGCUCUCUGAAUACCAAAAGCUGUUUUCCUUAAUUUCUCAGUAGUUCCCACUCUCUCCCACAUGACAGCCACAUUUUAACUAAGGCCCUGAAAAUGUCAGUAUUGCAUAUGAUUUUAUACCAACUUGUGCUACUUGCGUAUUUCCUCCUUGAUCGGGGCCACCUGUUUGCAGGUAUCCUUCUCCUUGAGGGCAACGGCUGUGUCCAUAUUGGGCGUUCAGAAGAUAUCUGUUGAAAGAAUAAAGAGAAGCUUCAGAUUGAAUGCAAAUAACAUUGCCUACCCUUUGUUGCUUUGAGAUCGAAUGAGAAAAAGUAGCUGUAAAAAUGGUAGUUCUGUUCCUUCUUUCCACAUUCUCCUUACACCCACCAUGGGCCACCUUAAUGUCUAUGCUUUUAUUUACAUUGUUUUCCUCUACACCGGUGCAAAAACCUCCACUGUGGAAUGAUUGUAUGGGACCACUUGAACCUCCACGUCCAUCCUGAGUCUAAGUUUUACUUGCUUUUCAGUGCACAGGAAUCCUUCCCUUCUCUAGCUCCCAGGUACAUUAGGUGAAGUAAGGCUUUCCAGGUAGACAGAAUAGAAUAAAAAAAGGCUGAGGUCCCAUUGAGAUUUUUCCUGAGGGGAGGCCGGGAAGCACACACAGUCUGACUCAUUGCUGUGUAUGUUACUCUCAUACCUUACCUAGUUAUUAAAUGGUGCCUUACCUCUGUGUUUUAUCUUUACAGCACUAAAAGUUACAGCCAACAACUUUAUCUAACUUUUCCAUUACUGAGGAAAAUAUUUUAUGUAUUGAUUUGUGUUUUUAGCUGUAGCAAUACAAUUUAUUCCUAGUAACCUUACUGCAAUAUUUGUGUCCGUAAAACAUCAUAAACAAGAAACACGAUCACAGAAUGUCUAUAAAACUGGACGUGUUCUUUUCUGGAAAAGCAGUCUUUUUGUUUCUUUCGGGAUGAGAGCUGGCUUCUUCAUCGAUUGGUGUGAGUUCUAUAGAAUUACUGCUAUGCGCAAUGGAGACCCAGCAAAGACUUUUGAGCAAGAUUCAGUGUUUAUUAGGCCCACCAAGGGCCUGGUGCUGGGCUGGAGAGCCUGGAGUGAAAAAAUUCCCAUCCUUGAGAAGCUUAUAGUUUUUUUUUUUUUUUUUUGGUGUAAGGGACAGACACCUAAACAAGUAAAUAGAACCGGGUAAGAGGUAGACUGGAGUUAUUAUAGUGUGAAGUGGGAGUCUGGCAUGGGAAAUAAAAAAGUUUGUUAAAAGGAUCUAGGGGCACCUGGGUGGCUCAGUCGGUUAAGCAUCCGACUACGGCUCAGGUCAUGAUCUCGAGGUUCACAAGUUUGAGCCC
Molecule: long non-coding RNA, 4304 nt
Organism: Felis catus (domestic cat)
Lineage: Eukaryota; Metazoa; Chordata; Mammalia; Carnivora; Felidae
Exons: 3
Source: RefSeq, a predicted model, not a curated record